ACAAGACAGCACCGGGUUUCACACUGGCAAGGCAGGAGGCUGUGUGCUGCCAGAACGACCAGCAGGGGGCGCAAAGGCCACUCCAGGCACCUGCUGGCCUCAGAGAAAACAGAAAGGAAACCAGGAAGCCCACUCCUGCUGUCCUUUCUCUGCAAGGAAAUGUGCCAGGACACUGCAGCCCAGACAGUCGGCAGUAGAGGACCCAUGAAGUAUCUUUGUGCAAAGAAAGCAGCAAAGAGAAUUAAGAGAACUGCAUCAUAUAAAGAGUGAAUUAAACCAUCUAAAGGAGCAAAAAGUCAUCAUCACAUGGACAAGAAAUUAAGACGUAACAUCCAUCUCACUAUUUGCAAAGUGGCUUAUUCCUACAGACAAUGCAGAUAUGUAAAAAGGUUUUUCUAUAGUUUCAUCCUUUGUAGAACCU
Molecule: long non-coding RNA, 421 nt
Filed under: Pan troglodytes (chimpanzee)
Lineage: Eukaryota; Metazoa; Chordata; Mammalia; Primates; Hominidae
Description: long non-coding RNA NONPTRT004156
Source: RNAcentral